UCUUCUAAAUCACAUCAGAUAAUUAUCAAUAAUAUCAUGAUACAUCAGAGUCUUCAUAGAUUGAGUUGUAGCCUCAAGUUACAUUCUAUGGUUCCAAAAAUUAAGGAAACAACCAACACAGAUGCUACAUUCAGGAUGGCACAACCAAGAACCACUACAUGCUGCCAUAAUGCUUACAGCUAUUAACAAACAAUUUUGCUACACAAAAUACUUCCAGUCAUUGCUUCCAAGUAGGUUGAAGCAUGAGAGGACCCAUCUGUACUCCCUCUACAUACAAAAACAAGAUAAAUGAACCAUUCAUAAGAAUCAGUGACAUGUACAAUCUGAGGUACAAGAGAACUAUGUAGCACGGAUACGGAUACGCGUAUCGGUAUCGGAAGGAUACGGAUACGUGGAUACGGCAAUUUCCUAAAUAACCCGAUACGCAGAUACGUUUUAUUAUUUUAAAAAAAUAAAUAAUAGCACAUAUUAAAAUUGUAAAAGUAGUUCAGUAAUAAUCUAAUCAGUAGUAGUUCAGUAUAUCACUGAACUCUGAAGUAGAAAGGAGAGGAAGAGGACAAAGGAGCACAGGUAAGCCACAGGUCCACAGCCCAUAGGAACAACCGAACAGGGCAUUAUAUUUGCAAAAGUGUCAUGGUAGUCCCACUCUUCCGUCGACCUUAUCCUCUUUCCAGCCUCCCAACGACAGCACACAUCUCCCCUGUCCUCCCUCCCAAUCCAGAUACUUCUCCCGUGGAUAGGUCCCUAGACAUCUCCAUCGCUCCCACCACACCACGGCCUCCCCGCCGCCCGCCCUCCUCCCCUUCGAAUAUCUCUCCCAAGUCCCAACAUCAGGGCACGAGCAGAGGAUUCGGAGCCCCACCGCUCCCACCACGCCACUGCCUCCGCGCCAGCAGGCCUCGUCGCCAGUGAGUGGAGGCUUGUCACAGGUGGCCCGCGGCUGGCGAGCAGGGAUGCGACGUCACUGCACGGGGAUGCGGCGCGAGGCGGAGGCGUGCAAAGCUAGGGCGUCAGGGACAGAGGGAUAAUGGAGUCUAUUGCUAUCGGGUUGAGCCGUAUCCGCAAACCAGAUACGUAUCGACUGCCGUAUCCAAUAUUCGCGAAAAAAAGGAAAAAUCGGAUACUCUGAGGAUACGUAUCCGAGGAGUAUCGGACACGUAUCCGUAUCCGGUACGUAUCAGAUACGCGAUACGCGUUCCCAGUGACGUAUCCGUGUAACAUAGCAAGAGAAUGAUUCUUAUGUGGAAAUAAGGGAAGAUACAUGCCUGAUAUCUAUAUUAUUAUUUCACUUUAAGGAACAAACCAUCAGUUCAAAGAACAAAGCAAACUUAUAUUAGCAGUAACAAGUCAACUUGUACUAAAGUAUUAAUACUGCACUGUUGGAUUAUAUCUCACACAUUGUGCACCUAAACCAGAUGCAAUGUAAUUUUUGAGUGGCCACACAGUACAGUCAGUGCUUCACAGUAUCUAGUAAUAGAUGAGGUCAGUAAGCACAUUUUGCUAAAUUAUCAGAUUAUACUUUUCCCUCUCCCACACAGUACUUGGAAUAAGCUGUACUACAGAAGUGUUAGGUGAACUGACAUGCAGGUGCUCAAUAAAAUUCAGUGCCUAGACCUUGUUUAGUUGUGAAAAGUUUUUAGAUUUUGACACUGUAGCACUUUCGUUUGUAUUUGAUAAUUAUUGUCCAACUAUAGACUAACUAGGCUCAAAGGAUUCGUCUCGUAAAUUACAGACAAACUAUACAAUUAGUUUUUGUUUUUGUCUAUAUUUAGUGCUCCAUGCAUACCACAAAAUUUGAUGUGACGGGGAAUCUUGAAAAGUUUUUGAAUUUUGGGGUGAACUAAACAAGGCCCUAGUUCAAAUUCAAUGUUCUAGCAUUCUAUAGGGCAGAGGAACCUGAAACAAGUAUCACAAUUGCCCACCUUAUGUACAAGUAGCACAAUUUUGCUUAAGUAAAGCACUAAAACAGUCCAUAUAUGGUCGAUGACCUGCAACAUGUGAAAAUAAUCAAAUGUAGGCAUAUGCACGCUUCUAUUAAGUGAGGAAAGGUAAAGUAGGCAUAUGAUAGUUGAUGAAUAUUUUUUAUCUAAUCUAGCUGAAAAAUGUCUUGUCCUGCCGAAGGAGUUAGAUCCUUUUCACCUGCAAGAAAAGGAUUCCCUUAUAUGCAUAUGGUGAAAGGAAAGAUUAAGGUAGCAUUUGCUAGCUAAUUAAAAUUCCAGGUUUCUGUAAGCUGCAGAUUCAAUACAUACAUUAUUCACUUAGAUUAGAUGACGACAAUACUAGUCAUUAGAAUAUAUGUUGAGAUUUCAUUUUCCAAACAAAUUAAGACCUACAUAUGCCAUACACUACUAGAACUCAGGGAGCAAAAAAAUAGGAUCUGUACUUACAUUUUCAAGAUCUGAACUUAGGCAAGAACAUUUCACAAAACACAUAAACCCAAAGUGAUGUUCGAAUACAAAUUUGUACCUAGAAGCUUGUAUAUACUUAAUAAAGCUAUAAACUACAAAUCAGUUUUACAGUGCAGAUAUGAGCAACUACCACUACUGCUCAACACAACCACGUUGUGGAUCUAUAGUUUCAAAGGAUCAUGUGUCAAAACUUUUUUUUUUGUUUAGAUCCAAAAAGUUUUUGGAUUUUAACACUGUAGCACUUUCAUUUUUAUUUGACAAACAUUAUCCAAUCAUAGAGUAACUAGGCUUAAAAGAUUCGUCUCACGAUUUACAGGCAAACUGCGCAAUUAGUUUUUGUUUUCAUUUAUAUUUAAUGUUUCAUGCAUGUGCUGCAAGAUUUGAUGUGACGAGGAAUCUUGAAAAGUUUUUGGUUUUUGGGGUGAACUAAACAAGGCCCAUUGGUGCUGAAAAUAUAGGGUCGGCGUCAAGCACACCAAGCGGCGCUGAACUAGAAUGACAUACCAAGCUACAUAUAGGGGUGGAUGAGCAGCUAGAAAGAAGGUCAGUGCUACAUGAGGCUUUGUCUUUGUGGGACUUUAGCAGCCACUUGGACUGGUAGCUAGAGCAAGCCACCCCAGCCACUACCCAACACCUAGGAAGGAGAACCGGCCUUUGGCGCACCAGAUCUAGCCCUAGGGGGGUGGAUCUGGCCAGCCACCAACAUUCCCCGCCGAUGGUGGAGAGGGUGGAGGGAAGGCAGAGAAGCGAGGGUGAGGAAGAGGGAGGUGUGAACAUGGCUCCUAUUUUUAGCACCGCUGGCCACCGCCACCGCGCGGGGGAGGCACUUGGCCCCGAGUCGCCCUGAUGAGGACACUCCAUGUUGAAGUUUAAAUCCACUUAACAUCAAUACUAUACAAGUAUCCAUGGUUCAUAUAAUAACUCUUUAGUUGUCACUGUUUCAGGGCCAUGAGAGUCUAUCUGAGCUAAGACAUCUUUUUUGCCAUGGAUCAUUUAUCACUAUCUAUUAUAGCCCAAGCCAUCAACGCUAUUGGCAUAAAAGAUCUACCCAUGACCUCCCCCACAUGCAAUCCCUGCUUAGCACCCAACAUUUAUGCUUCAUUGCUAAUAGUUGAUCAAGGAGAGUUUUAUUUCUUUUAAUUCUUGUUGGUUGAAACUUUGUGUUGGUGUUUGGUAAUUCACAUUAAAAUUUCCCAACUCUAAUGCUGAUCUCGUUGAUCGAGUGGUAAAGUUUAUUCAUCCAACUUAGCAUGAAUAUUUAUGUUUUUAAUGUCUUUAUAUAAACUCACAUAAACAAUUCGUCAUAAAUCAACUUAUUCCUUGUUAUAUUAUAAUCUCUUUUAUCUAACCAAUACAUCAUCAUCUCACUAUAUUAUUUCAUCCAUUAUAGUUGAUAUUACUUAACCACACCAUAUACCAUUUUAUUAAUAUACUAUUACACUGCAAUAGGUUAAAAGCUAUUAAACCAAUUCAUAUGUCAUCAUUUUAUUACGUUACUAUAUACCUAACCACUUCAUAAACCAUCAUUUUUAAUGUCGCUACUACCCUAAGUUCCAACUUAUUAACCAUGCUUUGAAAAUGAUUAUUUCAUUAUGCUAGAUAGUCCAUUACGACAAAUGUUGCAUAGCAGUACUAUACUUUUUAAACAAUAUAACCAUAAAUAUGUUUACAUGUAAAAUACAUUUCAUUUAAAAGUACCAAUUCAAAAUUUAUUUGUGCACCAAACAAUUAUUUAGGCAAAUAUUAUGUCACACAGUUCAAAAACAACUAUUCGAAUCUAGGCUUUUCUUUUCCAACUUGAAGAGAAACAGUUUCAUAGAAAUAAACAAAGAAAACAAAGGCAAAUAAUCUGUUCCAUUCUCUAGCCUACAAACGUUGGCUAACAGAUCAGAAAAACAGGUGCUCAUCCCUCCCUCUAUUGUCCCUCGUAGGGACAGAGAUAUCCCCUCAACCAAGUAGAUACAUGGAAUCAUCCCAUCCCAAAAAUCUGGAUUGGAUCCAUCCCAUCCCUCCUAGUCUCAAAACCAAACACAACCAAAGAAGGCUCAGUUGCUCCCUCUACUAGACAAAGUCGCAGACAAGCUUUUAGGAUAAGGUGUUGUUGUAAAUGGAGCAUAUGUAAAGAGUCUUUGUGCAAAUAGUUGAAUAAAAGGAGAGAGAGUGAGCACUGCUAGGAGAAGUAGCACAAGCAUGUUCGCUUGAGCUUGUCUGCUAAAUCUAUCAGACAUUCAGCAGUAUUUUUCUCUCAUAAUAAAUCAGCAAACAGUACUUUCAGCCAUAGCUUUUCAGACAAGUGAUGGACAUUCCUGUUAGAGUAUAAGGUUUAGGCCCAUGAGGCCCAUGUAUGUGACCAUAUUGCUACCCUUCUAGGGUCAGCCCAAUUAAGGAAAUCACAGUUUACAGCAUGGUAUCAAGCUAGGGUUUCUCUUCUCCCUCCCUCCCUUCCCAGCCCAGCCGCCAGGCAGCAGCCGCCGCCGGCCGGCGCGCCGCCGCAGCCGCGGCCAUGGCCGCCCCUCCUCCACCACCAGCCGGCGCGGCCCCCCGAGGCGCGGGCGCGCCGCCCCUGGGCGCGGCCUCCCUGGGCGCGGGCGCGCCGCCCCUGCGCGCGGCCCCCCUGGGCGCGGACGCGCCGGCCCUGAGCGCAGCUGCGGGCGCGCCGCCCCUGGGCGCGGGUGCUGCCCUUCCUCCACCACACUCCGCCCUCGCCACUGCCCUCACCGCUGCCCGCGCUGCUGCUACGGACGGCCAUGUGCGCAUGCGGGCUGCUGCCAUCGCUUGGGAGCGCGAGCACCAUGCAGCCGAUGACCUGGCUCGCAAGAUCGCCGAGGCGGAGCAACUGCUCAUCCUCCCUGCCUCGCACAAUGUCGGGGUGACCUCCUCCGGCUCCGGGGACGCGGCCGUCGCCGCCAUGCCUGCUGCAGUGGCUGCCGGACUGGGCAUGCCCUGGGCUGACGCAGCCGGACUGGGCUUGCCGCGUGCUGACGCAGCCGCAGCGGUCACCACCCUCGCCGCUGACCGGGCCGCUGCGGCGGCGGACAGGACCUCGUCUUUUCUUCCUCCUCCUCCCUCCGAGCCAAGCGGGGGUUGGGGGGGCCGUGGCAGCCACCGUCGCCGCCGCGGUGGAGGCGGGUGGAGUCUCUCAGCGCCUCUGUGGCCUCCACCUCCGAGUGCCUUGCCCGUGCCUGUCGGAUGGGACCCGGCGGCCUGGGCAUCUUUCCGCCACCCGUGGUCGACCAUGUGGGGCGACGGCAGGUCGGCGCCUCUGUUGUCGGACACAACAGCUCUACGUGCGCGGGCCAUGGCCGCUGUGCCUAGAGGAGCUGCGUCUCCUUCCACACCGGCUUCCUCAUUCCUCUCCAUCGCCAAACCUUCGCCCGCGGCUCCUCCUGCCGCAGGGCUGCGACCAGUCAGUCCUGACUGGAUCGCUGACUCGGGCGCCACCUUCCAUAUCACGCCCGAUGCGAGUCUCCUCUCUUCUAUCAGUCCUCCCCACCCUUCUUGUCCUUCUUCCAUCAUGGUCGCUAAUGGCACCUGCAUUCCUGUCUCCUCCGUAGGCACUGCCAAUUCCCAUGGCUCUUUUCAUAUCCCCGAUGUUCUUGUGGCUCCCGGUAUGGUUCACAACCUCCUCUCUAUUCGCCGCUUCACGACUGACAACUCUUGUUCGGUUGAGUUCGACCCCUCUGGCCUCACCGUGCGGGAGUUGGCUUCCCGGCGUCCUCUUCUCCGUUGUGACAGCACUGGGCCUCUCUACACCCUUCGUUUCCCGGUUUCCGCUGCACCUCCUUUGCCUUCUUAUUCACCCCCUUCGGCUUCUGCCUUCACCACCACCUCCUCCACUACGUGGCACCGUCGCCUUAGCCAUCCUGGCAGCACUGCUUUGUCCCAGCUCAGUCGCAGUUCCGUUGUGCCUUGCCCCCGCACUCUUGAUGAGCAUUUGUGUCAUGCAUGCCAGUUGGGCCGUCAUGUUAGACUUCCUUUCCCUACCUCCUCCUCCCAUGCGGCUCACAUCUUUGAUCUUAUCCAUUGCGACCUGUGGACAUCUCCUGUUCUUAGUAUGUCUGGCUACAAGUACUACUUGGUGGUGGUUGAUGACUUCUCCCAUUACUCCUGGACUUUUCCCUUGCGUGCCAAGUCCGAUACAUUCACCACUCUUCGCCACUUCUUUGCAUGGGUGUCCACCCAGUUCGGCCUCACCAUCAAGGCCGUGCAGUGUGACAACGGACGUGAGUUUGAUAACACCACCGCUCGCUCCUUCUUCCUCUCCUGUGGUGUCCAGUUGCGCAUGUCUUGCCCUUACACCUCCCCUCAGAACGGCAAGGCUGAGCGCAUGAUUCGCACCACAAACGAUGUCAUGCGCACCCUUCUGUUACAGGCCUCGCUUCCCGCUCGCUUCUGGGCUGAGAGCCUCCACACCGCCACCUAUCUCCUUAACCGCUUGCCCUCCACGGCUUCCCCUGCGCCCACUCCACACCACGCUCUUUUCGGUACCCCUCCCCGCUACGAUCACCUUCGUGUGUUUGGGUGCGCUUGCUACCCCAACACAGUUGCCACUUCUCCUCAUAAGCUUGCCCCCCGUUCUACUCUCUGUAUCUUCCUGGGUUACUCCCCUGAGCAUAAGGGGUACCGUUGCUUGGACCUCUCUUCUCGCCGUGUCCUCAUCUCUCGCCACGUCGUGUUUGACGAGUCGGCAUUCCCUUUCUCCACCACCCCCACCUCCACACCUCCUGCUGACCCUGCGGAGGCUUCUUUUUUUCCCACUGACCCAGUGGUUCCACCACCGUUUCCACUAUACCCUGCAGGUCUUGCUCCGGCACGCUCUCCUGGUGGUCCUUCGAGCCAGGACCCUCCUGUACCUGGCACGACAGAGGCAGCCCCAGAACUUCCUCCACCACUACCAAUGGUUGCGCUGCCUCCCGUUGUGCCCGAAGUCGUCGUCCCGAUCGCGGGACCGCGCGCCCCGUCCUCACCUCCCCGGCGCUUCGGCCUCGUCUACCAGCGGCGGCGAGAGCCGGCUCCGCCUCUGCAGCCGGUGUCGCGGGCUCCGUCGCCGCCCUCGCCACUAGCGCUGUCGUCGCCGGUACGGGCUCCGCCGUCGACCCCGCCACCUCCGGCGGAGCACCCGUCCAUGCCGCCUCCGGCCCCGAGGCGCUCUCGCGCCGAGCCGCCGGUGUACCACCCGCCUCUACUUCACCGGGAUCCUCGUCACACUCACCCAAUGGUGACGAGGCAGGCAUCCCAGCCGCGGGCCCUCACCGCUGCUACUUGCGAGACGGGGAUCUCACCGAUACCCUCUUCCGUCCGCGAGGCCUUGUCAGAUCCUCACUGGCGCCGUGCGAUGGAAGAGGAGUACGCGGCCCUCCUCGCUAACCAGACGUGGGAUCUGGUGCCCCGUCCGCCGGCCUCCAACGUUGUCACCGGCAAGUGGAUCUGGACGCACAAGCGGCGUGUUGAUGGUUCCUUGGAGCGCUACAAGGCUCGCUGGGUCCUCCGGGGUUUCAGUCAGCGGCCCGGCAUUGACUAUGAUGAGACCUUCAGUCUAGUGGUGAAGCCAGCUACCGUCCGCACCGUACUAUCUGUGGCUCUCGAGCGCUCCUGGCCUGUGCAUCAGCUGGAUGUCAAGAAUGCCUUCCUCCAUGGCACUCUGACCGAGACAGUCUACUGCAGUCAGCCGGCCGGUUUCGUGGAUUCUUCUCGCCCUGACUUGGUCUGCCGGCUCAACAAGUCUCUCUACGGUCUCAAGCAGGCACCUCGGGCGUGGUAUUCUCGGUUCUCUACCUUCCUGCAGACUCUUGGGUUCACGGAGGCCAAGUCCGACACCUCACUGUUCAUAUACCACCAUGGGGGUGAGACUGCUUACCUGCUCCUCUAUGUGGAUGACAUUGUUCUCACCGCCUGCAGCGAGUCACUGCUCCAGCGCAUCAUUACCACUCUCCAGAGGGAAUUUGCUAUGAAGGAUCUUGGUCUGCUCCAUCACUUCCUCGGUGUCACUGUUGAGCCCCGACCUUCAGGCUUGUUCCUCCACCAGCGGCAGUUCACUUGUGACAUUCUCGAGCGAGCAGGGAUGACUGACUGCAAGUCCUGUUCUACUCCGGUCGAUACCCAGGGCAAGCUGUCAGAGGCAGAGGGUCCGAUGCUUGGGCCAGAGGACUCUACCGCCUACCGGAGUCUUGCUGGCGCGCUCCAGUACCUCACCUUCACACGGCCUGACAUCACCUACGCCGUGCAGCAGCUCUGCCUCUACAUGCAUGCUCCGCGGGAGCCCCACCUUGCUGCUAUGAAGCGGCUCCUCCGGUACCUCCGUGGCACUCUCGGCUAUGGGCUGCUCCUCAGCCGGUCCUCCUCUGCCGAGCUGGUUGUCUACACCGACGCUGAUUGGGCGGGCUGCCCGGACACCCGCAGGUCCACCUCCGGCUACGCUGUCUUCCUGGGCGGCAACCUUGUCUCGUGGUCGUCCAAGCGACAGCCGGUGGUCUCACGCUCCAGUGCCGAGGCGGAGUACCGCGCCGUUGCCAAUGGUGUGGCCGAGGCUGCUUGGCUCCGCCAGCUACUGGCUGAGCUUCACCGCCCCCUCGCCAGGAGCUCACUUGUCUACUGCGACAACGUCAGCGCCGUCUAUCUCUCCACCAACCCUGUGCAGCACCAGCGGACCAAGCAUGUGGAGAUCGACCUGCACUUCGUCCGCGACCAUGUGGCCAUCGGCGACGUCCGGGUCCUCCACGUCCCGACCACCUCACAGUUUGCGGACAUCUUCACCAAGGGCCUCCCUUCCUCGACUUUCGCCGAGUUUCGCUCCAGCCUCAACGUCACCGGUGGCUAGUUGUGGCUGCGGGGGGGUAUUGUGUGUUAUGUGUUUUCUUUCUUGUCCAGUCUUGAACUCCGCUGUGCCGGUAGUCCAGACUGCGGGGGGGUGUUGGAGUAUAAGGUUUAGGCCCAUGAGGCCCAUGUAUGUGACCAUAUUGCUACCCUUCUAGGGUCAGCCACAGUUUACAGCAAUUCCAAAUACUAAAUCUCAAUUGUGGAAGUGUUGUCCUAACAGCAAUCUCAAUACUAAAUCUAUCAGUUCAUAGCCAUAGAUAUUCCUAAGUGGAUCGCCAAAUUUAAGAUCUGAUGGUCUUUCCUUUGGAGGGGCAAAACUAAGGUGACAUCAUUGUGCUAUGGCUUGAAAUGUGCUAGUGUUUGCCCAUAACACAUCAAAAUUUGGUAAAUUUUGACCAAAGAAUUGAAUCCCUUAUGAUAGAUGACUACAAAUUGCACAGGACCUGUUAUACCAAAGAAAGAAAUUGGUCAUAUGCCCACACAGUCAAGUAGUUGACAGAUUUUGCUGUCUGAACUCUGAAGUCAUAUGUUGUGCAAUUGUGAAACUAACUGAAAUAGCAUACAAGAACAGCUCAUGACUAACUGAAGUAGCAUACAAGAACAGCUCAUGGUUUUGACAUAUGUCAUCUUUCCCUAGUAGAUGUGCAAAGAAGAGUAAUUCCCAUGCCUAUUAUAUAGCUUUCACGUCCUCUGCAAAGUUCUAGCAGGUUAAGAUUAUCAAUAUAAAAAUGAACCGUCUGUAAGCCUAUCAGGGGAUGACUAUACUGGCCUCUUAAAAUAAAAAAUGAAAUUACUAUAAUAUCAUCACAAGACUAGGAACUACUAUUAAGAUUACUCAAUUUCUAUGUUACAGACAUUUGUAACUGAAAUCAAUUCUAGCUUAGUAUGAUUAACGAACUAAUAAGGUUUUAAACAAUAUAGAAAAUACUCACUCCAAAAUAGCUAUUGUCCAAUGUUUUCAAGACAGCUGGUCGUGCCUAGACGCCGAGGGACCGUCUAGGACGUCCAGUCGUCCAAGACGAUUAAUCGACCCUGGACGAGUCCCAUGGUUAUCACGGUCAUCCCCUACAUAUGAGGACUGAUAUAUACCAUACAUAUUAUGUAGUUAUCACACACUAGUAUACUGCAUGUUCUAGGCUCUAGAGUCUAGAUAGGUCAGCACAGGUAGAGCAUCAAGCUUGAGCAAGGAGGUGAUGACUGAUGAAUGACCUGAGGAUGAGCUCAUCUUUGUUGUGCAGUCCUCCUCCCUUGCACAGUUGGACCUGUUCACCUGCUGGAUCCACAGGUGUGCACGCUUGCAGCAGCAGCCGCAAGGAAGAGAGGGAGGGCAGCUGGAAGGGAGGAAGGGAGGGAGGAGCAGCUGGGAACCAAAAGGGAGGAGAGGAGAUGAGCAAUGGAGGUGGCUGCUGCUGCUGGACAGGAGAGGUGAGGAGUGUGUUCUGCUGAAAUGAAUGAGUGAGAGGUAAGAAACAACAUAAACCUUAAUGGGCUUGGGCCAAAAUAUAAGGCAGCUAGCUAGGCCCAACUCUGAGAUGCAGCCCACCUACUGACUAGACGCCCAGACAACCUAGACGGAUGAUUAAUCAUGACUGGGUAACGACUAAUCGGACAACUAGUUUCCUGGUCAGUCUGGCCGAGUCGGAGGCCCUGGUCGAGUAGCUCCAACCAUCCAGGGUGAUUAAUCGGACAUCCUGAAAACAUUGCUAUUGUCUAAUGUCCUAGAAUAUGUGCAGCCAAACUUACAAAUUGGGCUACUAAUAUGCAUAUGCAUGUACAGAGAAUCAGAGAUAUGACAGAACUGAUACUUUUCAUCUAAAGUACUCUCGUAUCAUCUUGUUUCCAAUAAACUUUUGCUCCUCACCAAGAAAUAAUAAUGGAAGGACCUGUCUUAGAGAUGGUCUAGUGUCCAAAACAACAAAAGAACAGAUCUACUACUAGUUACUACUUACCAUAUAUACCUGUUAUGUAGUAUGGUCGAGAUGACUAAUAUUAACUCUUUCCCCAGAAAAUAAUUUAGUGCAGUUUCAACAAUACAAAUGAAAAUAAUACCCUGUUUAGAAUUAGAAUACUCCUUGCCUGUAUGUAGUCGCCAUCCA
Molecule: long non-coding RNA, 11320 nt
Filed under: Sorghum bicolor (sorghum)
Lineage: Eukaryota; Viridiplantae; Streptophyta; Magnoliopsida; Poales; Poaceae
Description: long non-coding RNA (SBIC_LNC018032)
Source: RNAcentral